This 664-nucleotide long non-coding RNA is filed under the name Marmota monax (woodchuck). The record is from RNAcentral. Lineage: Eukaryota; Metazoa; Chordata; Mammalia; Rodentia; Sciuridae.
CUUAUACUCAUUCAGGAAAUAUUCAGUAUCUCCUGUGCUCCAGACUCUGUUUUAGGAGUUGGGAAUAUAAAAUUAAUGCUUAUUAUAUCAUUUAAAGUAAAAAUAAGAAAAACAUUAUUGUUUUGAUGGAUUAUAGUUAAGGGUAUAUAUAAUUAUAUAUUAUAGCCAAUAUAACAGAUUAUAUAUAUGCAUAUACAUACAUACGUUUAUUUAUUUAGUGAUUAUUUCCAGUGGAGCAAGGAUGAUUACUUAGUUUCCAGGCACUAAAAUUAUGCUGACAAUUUUCUCGAUUACCAUCCUUUAUCCCCAGUGGAGAUUACUUGAAUCACUAGUUGAUAGAGGAUGUAUAUUUUUUAAAUUAAUUAAUUUGCUUGUUUUAAUUUUUAUAUAUGACAUCAGAAUGCAUUUUGAUUCAUAGUACAUAUAUAGAGGACAAUUUUCAUUUAUCUGGUGUACACAAAGUAGAGUCAGACCAUUCAUAUCUUCAUACAUGUACCUAGGGUAACGCCAUCCAUCUCAUUCCACCAUCUUUCCUACUCCCCUGCCCCCUCCCUUCCCCUCCCUCUCCUUUGCCCUACUCAAAAUUCCUCCAUUCCUCCCAUGCUCCUCCCCACCUCCAUUAUCCAUCAGCAUCCACUUAUCAGAGAAAACAUUUGGCCUUUGG